This 253-nucleotide ribosomal RNA is filed under the name uncultured bacterium. RNAcentral's name for it is "partial 16S ribosomal RNA". It matches the Rfam family "Bacterial small subunit ribosomal RNA", at positions 524 to 776 of the family's 1533-position model. The record is from RNAcentral.
UACGUAGGGUGCAGGCGUUAAUCGGAAUUACUGGGCGUAAAGCGUGCGCAGGCGGCUUUGCAAGACAGAUGUGAAAUCCCCGGGCUUAACCUGGGAACUGCAUUUGUGACUGCAUGGCUGGAGUGCGGCAGAGGGGGAUGGAAUUCCGCGUGUAGCAGUGAAAUGCGUAGAUAUGCGGAGGAACACCGAUGGCGAAGGCAGGUCUCUGGGCUGACACUGACGCUCAUGCACGAAAGCGUGGGGAGCAAACAGG